This is a long non-coding RNA of Esox lucius (northern pike), 1866 nucleotides long. NCBI's taxonomy places the organism in Eukaryota, Metazoa, Chordata, Actinopteri, Esociformes, Esocidae. The record is from Ensembl.
AUUCAAUGUGCAUAGAAAGUCAUCACAGCACUUGAAGUGUUCCUGCGCCGUCCGCUUGCGCUGCCCCGGGCUCACCGGUGUUCACAGACCGAAGUUCAAAGUUCUCAACACGCCAGUGGGCGGGGAUAGGAGGGACAACACAACAAUACUCAACUCUAAUUGGACUUGUGUCGCUGUCACUCAAACUGUAGGCCCAGCAUUUAGCUGUCUACUUUAGGUCGUCUAGUCGGACUUGAUUGAGAACUUGCUAUCAAGGCUCCUUGAAAGGCUCAGAAAAUCGUAACAUUCCAGGACUAUGUGGCUAGUGGGAGGAAAAGGACAGCUGUAUGCAAAACAUGCAAAACGUAAAUAACUGGUGUGACAGCCGCAACGUCUAACUUUUUAGAGUACCGGAAAUCCCCAACGGCAGGUGCUGCUACUGUCUUCUCCUGAAUCAGUCUGACGCCCUUCUCCGAGCCCAAAGUCAGGAAGCAAGUAAGGGCCGAGUCUUGCGGCGCGGCUGAACCGGUGAAUUCAGUGGCAACAUGAAAAUACAUUAUGACUAAUAAUAUAACUAUAAUUUUGAUAUAAUUGAUGGUCAGUCUUUGCAUCCAUAGUUUGUCUUUGGAUUUCAGAGGGGCUACCCCCUCUCGAGCUACAGAGGCAGGGAGAACUCUUUGCUGUUGUUUCGACAUUAUGAAAAGUACGAGAAGUGUAGAGGACAGGCACAAUUCUUUAUGGUAAGAAUGAAACAAUUAAGUUACUACAAAAUAAGUCAACGCAAAAAUAACAAACCUUUUUUUCCCUUGGACGUCAGUGCUUGUUUGAUAGAUAAGCAGAAAGCAGUAUUAACAGCAAAUAAUUCUCUUUGAUGCACAUGCCACUUCAUGUCAAACAAAACAAUGGCUAUGAGUUUCCUCCGUUUCCCAGUAUUGUAGAUUCUACGUUUAAGAUAAUGGAACUGUAUUUAAUGAUUGUAGUAAAAAACAGACCAUCCAUGUGAAAAAUCCUUCCAGCCAUGGGUUGAUUCUCCUUUGGAAGUCCAGAGCCUGCUAGCUUGACCUGUAAUUAAAACUCCUUUGACCAUUUCUACCUAAGCCUAGGCCAAUUAGCAGGGCGGUGACAGGACAAUUACAAAAGCAUGUUCACACCUUUUCCAGUUUUAAGACUUAAGUUCCUUUUUAGAGUGUUGUGGAUGCCUUAAGUCAGCUGGAUUACGCCAUAGUUUGCUGAUCUGCAAUCUUUAGACAUAAACAACAGACAACAACACACAAACACUUUUCCUACAUCAGUUCUCUGAUCUAUCUGAAAGGUGUGUGUCUGUCUAUUCUGUGGUUAUAUAGUGUGUUCUGUGAUAAUAUAGUGUGUUUUGUGGUAGUAAAUUGUAUUCAGUGGUAAUAUAGUGUGUUCUGUGGUCAAAUAUAGUGUAUUCAUAUGGUAAUAUUGUGUAUUCAUAUGGUAAUAUUGUGUAUUAUGUGGAAAUAUAGGGUAUUCUGAUGUAAUAUAGUUUAUUCUAUGAUAAUAUAGUGUGUUCUGUGUUAAUAGGGUGUGUGCUGUGGUAAAAUAGUAUCUUCUGUGCUACUAGGAUGUGUUCUGUGGUAAUACAGUGUCGUCUGUGGUAAUAUAGUCUGUUCUGUGGUAAUAUAUUGUGUUCUGUGGUAAUAUAUUGUGUUCUGUUGUAAUUUAGUGUCUUCUGUGGUAAUACAGUGUCUUCUGUGGUAAUACAGUGUCUUCUGUGGUACUACAGUGUGUUCUGUGGUAAAAUAUUAUGUUCUGUUGUAAUUAAAUAUAUUCUGUGGUACUACAGUAUCUUCUGCGGUAAUUUAGUGUGUUUUAUGAUAAUAUAAUGUGUUACAUGCUGAUAAUGUGUGUUCUGUGGUAGUAAAC